RNAcentral lists this ribosomal RNA (486 nucleotides) under uncultured bacterium. RNAcentral describes it as "partial 16S ribosomal RNA". It matches the Rfam family "Bacterial small subunit ribosomal RNA", at positions 28 to 507 of the family's 1533-position model. The record is from RNAcentral.
GACGAACGCUGGCGGCGUGCUUAACACAUGCCAGUCGAACGCUGAAGGCCUGGCUUUUGUUGGGUUGGAUGAGUGGCGAACGGGUGAGUAACACGUGAGUAACCUGCCCUCUUCUUUGGGAUAACGCCCGGAAACGGGUGCUAAUACUGGAUAUUCACUGAUCUUCGCAUGGGGGUUGGUGGAAAGGUUUGUUCUGGUGGGGGAUGGGCUCGCGGCCUAUCAGCUUGUUGGUGGGGUGAUGGCCUACCAAGGCUUUGACGGGUAGCCGGCCUGAGAGGGUGACCGGUCACAUUGGGACUGAGAUACGGCCCAGACUCCUACGGGAGGCAGCAGUGGGGAAUAUUGCACAAUGGGCGAAAGCCUGAUGCAGCGACGCCGCGUGAGGGAUGGAGGCCUUCGGGGUGUAAACCUCUUUCGCUCAUGGUCAAGCCGCAACUGUGGGUUGUGGUGAGGGUAGUGGGUAAAGAAGCGCCGGCUAACUACGUG